AAAGAGACAAUGAAGGGAAGAGUACCCUUAUACCGGUCACCAGAGAGGGAGUGCCUUGGCUGGGAGCACUCCUGACCAGAGAUAAGGGGAAGACCAGCCUGGAGUCUUCUCUGAAGCCUUCGCAUGGUGAAGGAGAACGGAGGCACUCCGUUAAAGGUGCUUAGAGUGGGUGGAUCUAGUUAUCCACCAAUCGGGGUGGAACCGCGGGAAAACUCGCCCCCGCA
RNAcentral lists this non-coding RNA (224 nucleotides) under Thermoanaerobacterales bacterium. RNAcentral describes it as "T-box sequence". It matches the Rfam family "T-box leader". Rfam says of the family: Uncharged tRNA acts as the effector for transcription antitermination of genes in the T-box leader family. The record is from RNAcentral. Lineage: Bacteria; Bacillati; Bacillota; Clostridia; Thermoanaerobacterales.